AAAAGGAGAAUCCCAUUCCUCCCUAAGACU
RNAcentral lists this transfer RNA (30 nucleotides) under Stenella attenuata (bridled dolphin). RNAcentral's name for it is "partial tRNA-Thr". The record is from RNAcentral. Lineage: Eukaryota; Metazoa; Chordata; Mammalia; Artiodactyla; Delphinidae.